AGGACCCUGCCGGGUUCGUGGUCAAGCUGAUUGUGAUGUGAACCAACACCCCAUCCAAGGGAGUCCGGGCUCUGGCGGCGGAAUGCAUGCCACUCUGUGUGGAGCCAGGAAACCGUCGGGAGGACACCCACCUGCGAGAGCAGGUUCAGCAGACAACAGCAACGUUAGCGGCCUGGCGGGGACCUU
RNAcentral lists this non-coding RNA (186 nucleotides) under Bacillota bacterium. Its description in RNAcentral is "6S RNA". It matches the Rfam family "6S / SsrS RNA". Rfam says of the family: E. coli 6S RNA was the first non coding RNA to be sequenced, but its function was unknown until recently. It consists of 184 nucleotides that fold into an extended hairpin structure with a large single-stranded internal bulge. Lineage: Bacteria; Bacillati; Bacillota. The record is from RNAcentral.